This 5146-nucleotide long non-coding RNA is filed under the name Sus scrofa (pig). RNAcentral's name for it is "lncRNA (ENSSSCG00000059851.1)". Lineage: Eukaryota; Metazoa; Chordata; Mammalia; Artiodactyla; Suidae. The record is from RNAcentral.
UUUACUCCCACAGAAUAGGGAAAAAGUCACUACUGAGAUCUGUGUUUUCUACUAACUUCUACCACUAUGCCAACACCUGAAAUUAUUUGACUAAAAAGGGACCUGUAAUCCAGUUAUCCUAAUGUUUCUUACCAUUUUCUCUGCUACUUCUGACCAAGACAGCCUUAAUUUUCCCCUCAGCUUGACUAAACUUUGGACAAGUUUCUCUCUGACUGUAAGCCCCCUUUCUUUUCCUAGAACAUUUACUUUAGAAAACUUGCAGUAGUAAAUUAUUCCUCUGCUUCUUUGAAAUAUAGACAAUCUUCUCCCGGCCUCUUACCAGUUUUACAACUCAGAAAUGUCUUUCUCAAGGAUCUGCCAUCUCUUUGAAAUGCAAUUAUUAAUAAAGACAGUACCCCUGUUUCCCAGUGGAGGGGGAAGUAGCAGCCUAACUUUGUAAGUGCCUAUUAGCAAACACAGAUGGCUUAACCACAGAGAAAAACAUCUGUAAAAUCAAGAAUGACUCAAUGUGCUAGACAGAUCCUAUUGACCACCCUACCCCUCAAUGUCCUCCAGUACUUUUUCACUAACUCAGUCCUGCUUCCAAAAUCCCUCUUGCCUUGUGUUUCAUUGGAGUUGAAUUCAGUCUCUCUCCUCUAUUGCAAUAGUCUUAAAUAAAAUCUUCUUGCCUGUUCAACUCUGGUGCAAUUUUUCUUUGACAAUUUGCUCCUUCCUAAGUGAGUUCUACAGCUCAUCAUUAAAAUAACACCCUUGCUGGAGUUCCUAUCAUGGCUCAGGAGUAACAAACCCAACCAGUAUCCAUGAGGAUGCAGGUUUGAUCCCUGGCCUCACUCAGUGACUUAAGGAUCUGGUGUUGCAAUGAGCUGUGGUAUAUGGUCACAGAUGUGGUUCAGACCCCAUGUUGCUGUGGCUGUGUCAUAGCCUAGUAGAUGUAGCUCUGAUUCGAACACAAACCUGGGAACUUACAUAUGCCACACCUAUUACUCUAAAAAAUAAAAAUAAAAAAAUAAAAGACAAAAAAUAAAAUAAAAUGAAAAUAAAAUAACAUCCUUGCCAAUAUCCUCAACUCAUUUUCUCUUCUUGUUCCCAAACCCAAAAUCCAGUUAAUCAGCCUCUUCAGUGCUUUUGUUGGAGAAAAACACACAGCCAGCUGCCUCAGUUCACUCUCUGACUUCUGACUUCAAGUCCUAGAACAUUAUUUCAUCCCCUUUCUUGCCUUAAAUGCCCCACACCUCCUUACCUGCAUUCAUUUUCAUCAGAUGACAUCAUUUCCUAUUCUACAGAGAAAGUAGAAGCAACUGGAAAAAGUCUCCACCAGCACCCACCUCCAUAUUCAUCUAAACACCUGUGUCCAGGACUUUAUACUCUGCCUUCCCUGGUGUUAUUGUUGACAAGCUGUUCCCAGAGAUCAGACAACCCUUCCACUGGGUCCUAAAUCCCAUUCUCUCUCAUUUUUACUCAAGAACACAGCUGUUAAAACUCUCAUUGCUCUUCCCUGUGUUACCAAUUUUCACUACUCAAACAGUCCCAUCAUCCUGCAACAUUUUGUAGGUAUUCCUCCUAUUUUUUUGGCCAAGCAGAAGUUUCCUGGACAGGCACUGAAACUGUGCCACAGCAGUAACCAGAGCCACAGCAGGGACAACACCAGAUCCUUAAUCUGCUAAGCUGCCAGGGAAUUCGGAUAUCUUUAAAUAAUUAAUAAUAAUAAUACUAUUAUCCCACCCCCUUUUGAACUUCUUAUAUUCAGACUUUAGCUCCCUUCCCCAACACAGUUAUUGUCUAGGCCACAAAUAAACUUUUAAAGUCAAUUCUAAGUAAUCAAUAUAUUUGACUUAUCAGCAAUAUUUGGCACAGUCAACAAUUCCCAUGCUUUCUUCACAUGGCUUAGAGAACACCAAUCUAUUUAAUUUUCCUCUUAAAUAGCCAAUCCUUCUUCCUCAACAUCCUUAACUGGCUCUUUCCAUAUUUAUACUCCUUAGUUAGUGUGACUGGAGGUUUAAUUCUCUUUUUUCCUUAAUUGAAUUUACACCUUAGGGGAUCUCAUUUAGUUUAACAGCAUAAAUACCAUCUAGACAAAAACUAUGCUCUAAUUUUUAUCUCCAGAUCAUACUUCUCCACUGAAUUCAGAGGAUUUAUCCAACUACUCACCAGAUAUUACCAUUUUAGGCUGUCCAAUGGAAAUCUUAAGCAUAACAUGCCCAAAUCCAGACCCCCUGAUUUUCACCCCAGAAGAAGAGCUUCAAGGUCUUCACCAUCUCUGUCCACGUCCAUAUCAGUAUCACCCUUACAUUUUCUAGGAAAAGAAGGGAUGAAGAGUGAGGUGAGGUUGUGAAGUGGGAAUUCACUUUAAUUCCUGUCAUUUUCUGUCUCACAGGAUGAUGCUUUACAGAUGUAAGAUGUUAUAACUUUGUACAAAAUACACCAAUAGCUUCCUGCCCUAUUUAAAGUGAAAGUCAAAGGCCUUGAAAUGGCCUACAAGGUAGUGUCUGGUCUGGUGUUUGUUACAUCCCUGAGCUCAGCUCCUACUGCUUCCACUCUAUCCACACUGGCCCUCUUCUGUGCCGUAAAUAAGAUGUAUAUGUUCCUGCCUCAGAAUGUUUGGACUUGCAUUUAUUUUGUGUGAACACUCUUCUUGCAGAUUUCAUGGCUCACUCUCUCAUCUUCACUUUUCCCCUGACCAUCCUAUUUCUAUCCCUAUACCACUCCAACACUCUGUCUUCCUCCCUGCUUAACUUUACUCCAGAACUUUUCCUACCAUCUGAUAUAGCAUAUGUUUAUCUAUGUAUGUGUUUAUCAUGUUUGUCUUAGUUUAACAUAAGCCUUGCGAGAAUAGAUUUUUGUUUUCUUGGUAUCUAGAAAAAUGUCUGGCAUCUAAAUAUGUGAGGAGGAAGGAAGGAAAGAAGGAAACUAAUUUCAAUUCUGUACAGUUAAGAAUUCUAUUUAUUAAGAAUCACUCAUCUAUGCAGUAAUUAUUAGAAUGCUUGUCUUCUUGACAUUCUUUUGGAAAUGUCGUUGUGUAUUUGUCAACUCUUAGAACAUGGGUAAAAGAAAAGAUAGAGCCUUAGCUUUAACAUAAAAUCCCAGGAACAGAUAUAAAAUCACUGCAUCCUCUUUCUCCCACUAAUGCUGCCCUUACAACUUAAUUUGAUUUCAAAUCCCUAUCCCCUCACCCCUGUAUAACUGUUAGAAACAGUUCUAUUCCUAGAAACUAUGUGAAUGCACUAUCAUUCUCUGUUAAAACUCUCAGCUACUAAGAAUUAGGCCAGCUGCUCAGAUUGAGUUUAUCACAAGAUCUAAUUUUUACUAUAGUCUCCCUGGCUAAGGAUCUGCUCCUCAGGGUUGAUGGUUGUACAUCUUGAAGUCAUUUAAUUAAAAUCAUAAACAACUUCAAGAAGAGAAUGAUUUUUAGAGUAAAGGCACAAUUUGGUAAUGUGCCUAUAUUAUAAUAAUGAUUGUAUCUUUUUGUUCUUCAGGAAACAUGCUUAACCUCUAAUAUCUCCUCCAUAAUCACCUUCUAUUAAGGACUGGGAUGUUAAACUCCUGACUUAAAAUACCUAAAAUGGUUCUCUAUUACUUUGCAGAUUAAGUCCAUAAUUAUUAUGGUUAUACAAUUAUUAUUACUUUUUUUUUUUUUUGGUCUUUUUAGGGCCAUACCCAUGGCAUGUGGAAGUUUCCAGGCUAGGGGUCAAAUUGGAGUUGUAGCUGCCAGCCCACACGUCAGCCACAGCAAUGUGGGAUCCGAGCCAAGUCUGCAACCUACACCACAGCUUACAGCAAUGCCGGAUCCUUAACCCACUGAGCAAGGCCAGGGAUCAAAACUGCAUCCUCAUGGAUGCUAGUCAUAUUCAUUUCCCCUGAGCCAUAAGGGGAACUCCAGUCAUACAAUUAUUAAUAAAUAUCCAAUCAUAAGAACAACUUGAUUUUCUUAUAAUUCAACUUAACUUCUGUCUCCAUUUUGUCAUUGUGAGUGAAAAUCUAUCUCUUUUAGGGUCAUCUAUAUAUUUAUUUUUAUCUGCUAAAAUAACAUUACUUUUUACUACCAUUUAAUGCAGUCCCUACUCCCCACAUAUGCCACAUGCCUCCCAGGGAUUUGCUACAGUACUAGGGUCUUAAGUUGUCAAGGCAAGAGUUGAGGGAAAAGGACCAUGUGGUCCUUAGGUGUGCUCUAAGAAUUGGAAAGUGAGAUAUACUUCAUCUCGUUGGUUUGGCUAUUUUGAGUCCAACAGCUGGGCACUCUCCUGUGCCACAUGGAACAGGGAAUACUUUGGAGAAAGUGUCUAGGGCUUUAUCUUUUUAGAUACACUGCACAUUCUCUGAGGACCUUCUAGUUCCCCUCUGAGAUGCUGGGAGGCUGUCCUGUUCACAAGACCCAGCCGCCAGCAUCUCUUUCUGUCUCCUCAUCUAUCUCUCUUACUUUUUUCUCCCUCCCUGUCUCUAUCUAUCUUUCUCUACCUUCCCUUCUCUCCACAGUUCAAGGGAUCUCUUUUUCAUUGUAGAGGGUGUAGAUGGGAGCCUUGUACUGCUCUCUAAUUUCCUCAACACACACUGUUUAUCCCAGGAAUCCUCUUCUUAUUUGAUAAAUCCAGACUCUAGAAAUAAACGUUAUGAGGACUUGUAAGUCUUGACCUGUUAUCUCUGCCACAUCCCUCACCAAAACCAAUGAGCCCAGAGCCCACUAGCUUCUUGAAAGGAGAGGCAAGUAACUGGGGUGGGAAGAAGGAUUGUGAUUAAAUGUCACUAACAUAACAUUCAUCACUGGAGUCCCACUUCGUCUCCUCCCUCAUACACAUUCUCUCUACCUUCCUGUAACAUCAGAUGGUGCAUAGCUUCCUAACUGCACUCAUCAUUCAUAUGUCCCAGCCUUUGGACAUGUAUUUGUCCUCUAUCUUCUCUGAAUGGCUCUUCGUGUGCAAACAGAAUGGAUGCAUGGAGUUCCCAUUUUGGCUCAAUGGAAACAGAUCUGACUAGCAUCCAUGAGGAUGCAGUUUCAAUCUCCAGCAUCACUCAGUGGGUUAAGGAUCGGGCCUUGCUGUGAGCUGUGAUGUAGGUCAGAGAUGUGGCUCAGAUCCUGUGUUGCUGUGGCUCUGGCAUAGGCCAGCAGCUACAGCUCUGAUUCGACCCCAGCCUGGGAACCUCCAUAUGCCUC